RNAcentral lists this ribosomal RNA (425 nucleotides) under uncultured Clostridiaceae bacterium. RNAcentral's name for it is "bacterial SSU rRNA". It matches the Rfam family "Bacterial small subunit ribosomal RNA", at positions 354 to 796 of the family's 1533-position model. The record is from RNAcentral. Lineage: Bacteria; Bacillati; Bacillota; Clostridia; Eubacteriales; Clostridiaceae.
GUGGGGAAUAUUGCACAAUGGGGGAAACCCUGAUGCAGCAACGCCGCGUGAGUGAUGACGGCCUUCGGGUUGUAAAACUCUGUCUUUGGGGACGAUAAUGACGGUACCCAAGGAGGAAGCCACGGCUAACUACGUGCCAGCAGCCGCGGUAAUACGUAGGUGGCAAGCGUUGUCCGGAUUUACUGGGCGUAAAGGGAGCGUAGGUGGAUAUUUAAGUGGGAUGUGAAAUACUCGGGCUUAACCUGGGUGCUGCAUUCCAAACUGGAUAUCUAGAGUGCAGGAGAGGAAAGGAGAAUUCCUAGUGUAGCGGUGAAAUGCGUAGAGAUUAGGAAGAAUACCAGUGGCGAAGGCGCCUUUCUGGACUGUAACUGACACUGAGGCUCGAAAGCGUGGGGAGCAAACAGGAUUAGAAACCCCAGUAGUCC